Oncorhynchus tshawytscha (Chinook salmon) is the source of this 712-nucleotide long non-coding RNA. NCBI's taxonomy places the organism in Eukaryota, Metazoa, Chordata, Actinopteri, Salmoniformes, Salmonidae. The record is from Ensembl.
GCGAAAUACAGGGGGUACCGGUACAGAGUCAAUGUGGAGGCUAUAUACAGGGGGUACUGGUACAGAGUCAAUGUGGAGGCUAUAUACAGGGUAUUACGGUACAGAGUCAAUGUGGAGGCUAUAUACAGGGUAUUACGGUACUUAGUCAAUGUGGAGGCUAUAUACAGGGUGUUACGGUACAGAGUCAAUGUGGAGGCUAUAUACAGGGUGUUACGGUACAGAGUCAAUGUGGAGACUAUAUACAGGGUGUUACGGUACAGAGUCAAUGUGGAGGCUAUAUACAGGGUGUUACGGUACAGAGUCAAUGUGGAGGCUAUAUACAGGGUGUUACGGUACAGAGUCAAUGUGGAGACUAUAUACAGGGUGUUACGGUACAGAGUCAAUGUGGAGGCUAUAUACAGGGUGUUAUGGUACAGAGUCAAUGUGGAGGCUAUAUACAGGGUGUUAAGGUACAGAGUCAAUGUGGAGGCUAUAUACAGGGGUACCGGUACAGAGUCAAUGUGGAGGCUAUAUACAGGGUGUACCGGUACAGAGUCAAUGUGGAGGCUAUAUACAGGGUGUUACGGUACAGAGUCAAUGUGGAGGCUAUAUACAGGGGGUACCGGUACAGAGUCAAUGUGGAGGCUAUAUACAGGGGUACCGGUACAGAGUCAAUGUGGAGGCUAUAUACAGGGUGUUAUGGUACAGAGUCAAUGUGGAGGCUAUAUACAGG